AGAGUUUGAUUCCCUGGCUCAGAUUGAACGCUGGCGGCAGGCCUAACACAUGCAAGUCGAGCGGAUGAAAGGAGCUUGCUCCUGGAUUCAGCGGCGGACGGGUGAGUAAUGCCUAGGAAUCUGCCUGGUAGUGGGGGACAACGUUUCGAAAGGAACGCUAAUACCGCAUACGUCCUACGGGAGAAAGCAGGGGACCUUCGGGCCUUGCGCUAUCAGAUGAGCCUAGGUCGGAUUAGCUAGUUGGUGAGGUAAUGGCUCACCAAGGCGACGAUCCGUAACUGGUCUGAGAGGAUGAUCAGUCACACUGGAACUGAGACACGGUCCAGACUCCUACGGGAGGCAGCAGUGGGGAAUAUUGGACAAUGGGCGAAAGCCUGAUCCAGCCAUGCCGCGUGUGUGAAGAAGGUCUUCGGAUUGUAAAGCACUUUAAGUUGGGAGGAAGGGUUGUAGAUUAAUACUCUGCAAUUUUGACGUUACCGACAGAAUAAGCACCGGCUAACUCUGUGCCAGCAGCCGCGGUAAUACAGAGGGUGCAAGCGUUAAUCGGAAUUACUGGGCGUAAAGCGCGCGUAGGUGGUUUGUUAAGUUGGAUGUGAAAUCCCCGGGCUCAACCUGGGAACUGCAUCCAAAACUGGCAAGCUAGAGUAUGGUAGAGGGUGGUGGAAUUUCCUGUGUAGCGGUGAAAUGCGUAGAUAUAGGAAGGAACACCAGUGGCGAAGGCGACCACCUGGAC
RNAcentral lists this ribosomal RNA (733 nucleotides) under Pseudomonas sp. EC-S102. RNAcentral's name for it is "bacterial SSU rRNA". It matches the Rfam family "Bacterial small subunit ribosomal RNA", at positions 8 to 734 of the family's 1533-position model. The record is from RNAcentral. Lineage: Bacteria; Pseudomonadati; Pseudomonadota; Gammaproteobacteria; Pseudomonadales; Pseudomonadaceae.